This 274-nucleotide long non-coding RNA is filed under the name Gossypium raimondii (Peruvian cotton). Its description in RNAcentral is "long non-coding RNA (GRAI_LNC003925)". Lineage: Eukaryota; Viridiplantae; Streptophyta; Magnoliopsida; Malvales; Malvaceae. The record is from RNAcentral.
AAAAAAAGGGGAUAAACUUCAGCUAUUUGGCAGCACAAAUUUCUCGUUUACAUUGCAUGCAUUAAGAAGGAUUGAAUUUGUGAUAUUCAUCAGAUCUAUUUAGUGAACUUCUCCUUGAGCUGGUUGUUGAUCGUAGGACAUCAUUCUUAGGGUAACCAUAAUAAACACAGAUUUUUCUGUGUUAUCGGCUAAAAUCACAUCAAUCUGAAAUAUGGUUUUGGAAUCAAUGCAGCUUUUACAAAGGAUUGGUGACUUGAUGAAUAUCGGAGAUGAU